This 194-nucleotide ribosomal RNA is filed under the name uncultured bacterium. Its description in RNAcentral is "partial 16S ribosomal RNA". It matches the Rfam family "Bacterial small subunit ribosomal RNA", at positions 338 to 524 of the family's 1533-position model. RNAcentral also lists the same sequence under 1 other name. The record is from RNAcentral.
CCUACGGGAGGCAGCAGUGGGGAAUAUUGCACAAUGGGCGAAAGCCUGAUGCAGCCAUGCCGCGUGUAUGAAGAAGGCCUUCGGGUUGUAAAGUACUUUCAGUUGUGAGGAAGGGGGUGUCGUUAAUAGCGGCAUCUCUUGACGUUAGCAACAGAAGAAGCACCGGCUAACUCCGUGCCAGCAGCCGCGGUAAU